AAAAAAGCGGAGGAAAAGAAACCAACCGGGAUUGCCUUAGUAACGGCGAGUGAAGCGGCAAAAGCUCAAAUUUGAAAUCUGGUACCUUCGGUGCCCGAGUUGUAAUUUGGAGAGGGCAACUUUGGGGCCGUUCCUUGUCUAUGUUCCUUGGAACAGGACGUCAUAGAGGGUGAGAAUCCCGUGUGGCGAGGAGUGCGGUUCUUUGUAAAGUGCCUUCGAAGAGUCGAGUUGUUUGGGAAUGCAGCUCUAAGUGGGUGGUAAAUUCCAUCUAAAGCUAAAUAUUGGCGAGAGACCGAUAGCGAACAAGUACAGUGAUGGAAAGAUGAAAAGAACUUUGAAAAGAGAGUGAAAAAGUACGUGAAAUUGUUGAAAGGGAAGGGCAUUUGAUCAGACAUGGUGUUUUGUGCCCUCUGCUCCUUGUGGGUAGGGGAAUCUCGCAUUUCACUGGGCCAGCAUCAGUUUUGGUGGCAGGAUAAAUCCAUAGGAAUGUAGCUUGCCUCGGUAAGUAUUAUAGCCUGUGGGAAUACUGCCAGCUGGGACUGAGGACUGCGACGUAAGUCAAGGAUGCUGCAUAAGACCUGACGU
RNAcentral lists this ribosomal RNA (585 nucleotides) under Saccharomyces cerevisiae (brewer's yeast). Its description in RNAcentral is "eukaryotic LSU rRNA". It matches the Rfam family "Eukaryotic large subunit ribosomal RNA", at positions 44 to 632 of the family's 3401-position model. The record is from RNAcentral. Lineage: Eukaryota; Fungi; Ascomycota; Saccharomycetes; Saccharomycetales; Saccharomycetaceae.